RNAcentral lists this ribosomal RNA (504 nucleotides) under Saccharomyces cerevisiae (brewer's yeast). Its description in RNAcentral is "partial large subunit ribosomal RNA". It matches the Rfam family "Eukaryotic large subunit ribosomal RNA", at positions 49 to 555 of the family's 3401-position model. Lineage: Eukaryota; Fungi; Ascomycota; Saccharomycetes; Saccharomycetales; Saccharomycetaceae. The record is from RNAcentral.
AGCGGAGGAAAAGAAACCAACCGGGAUUGCCUUAGUAACGGCGAGUGAAGCGGCAAAAGCUCAAAUUUGAAAUCUGGUACCUUCGGUGCCCGAGUUGUAAUUUGGAGAGGGCAACUUUGGGGCCGUUCCUUGUCUAUGUUCCUUGGAACAGGACGUCAUAGAGGGUGAGAAUCCCGUGUGGCGAGGAGUGCGGUUCUUUGUAAAGUGCCUUCGAAGAGUCGAGUUGUUUGGGAAUGCAGCUCUAAGUGGGUGGUAAAUUCCAUCUAAAGCUAAAUAUUGGCGAGAGACCGAUAGCGAACAAGUACAGUGAUGGAAAGAUGAAAAGAACUUUGAAAAGAGAGUGAAAAAGUACGUGAAAUUGUUGAAAGGGAAGGGCAUUUGAUCAGACAUGGUGUUUUGUGCCCUCUGCUCCUUGUGGGUAGGGGAAUCUCGCAUUUCACUGGGCCAGCAUCAGUUUUGGUGGCAGGAUAAAUCCAUAGGAAUGUAGCUUGCCUCGGUAAGUAU